UACGUAGGGUGCGAGCGUUAAUCGGAAUUACUGGGCGUAAAGCGUGCGCAGGCGGUUUUGUAAGCCAGAUGUGAAAUCCCCGGGCUCAACUUGGGAAUGGCGCUUGAAACUACGGUGCUGGAGUGUGGCAGAGGGAGGUGGAAUUCCACGUGUAGCGGUGAAAUGCGUAGAGAUGUGGAGGAACACCGAUGGCGAAGGCAGCCUCCUGGGCCAACACUGACGCUCAUGCACGAGAGCGUGGGGAGCAAACAGG
Molecule: ribosomal RNA, 253 nt
Filed under: uncultured bacterium
Lineage: Bacteria
Description: partial 16S ribosomal RNA
Rfam family: Bacterial small subunit ribosomal RNA
Source: RNAcentral